Molecule: transfer RNA, 124 nt
Filed under: Fusarium solani
Lineage: Eukaryota; Fungi; Ascomycota; Sordariomycetes; Hypocreales; Nectriaceae
Description: tRNA-Met
Source: RNAcentral
AGCAGCUUGGCGCAGUGGAAGCGCGGUAUGUACACACAGAUUCACUCAUUUCUAAUCAUCCACUAACUUUCAAACAGCCGGGCUCAUAACCCGGAGGUCGCUGGAUCGACACCAGCAGCUGCUA